This 1311-nucleotide long non-coding RNA is filed under the name Salmo trutta (river trout). RNAcentral's name for it is "lncRNA (ENSSTUG00000020767.1)". Lineage: Eukaryota; Metazoa; Chordata; Actinopteri; Salmoniformes; Salmonidae. The record is from RNAcentral.
UUCCUCCACAAAGCUUCCAGACAGAGUAUCCAUCAGAUAUUUAAACCACUCUGGUCCCGUGGUUGAGGGGCAUCAGUACUCUCUGCAUUGUGUUGUCCAGAACACCGCUCCUAUUGAGCACCUCAGAGUGACCUUCUUCAAAGUCUCUACCAAUGGUGAACAGACAGUGUUAUACACACAACAACUGAACAAUGACAUUAGGGAACCAGUGAAUGGGAGCUUUUCCCUGCAGUUCUCCCCCACUAGUGUUGAUGACGGGGCCCAGUUGUUGUGUUCAGCCAUGUUGGAUCUGGGACCACAGGGACCCCAACCUCCUCCUGUAAUGGAAUCAGAAUGCCUCAACACCACCGUGCACUUCGCUCCUGAGUUCUGCUGUUCUGCCAAGCUGCAGGUGCGAGCGGGGGAGGGGCUAACUUGUGAUGUCAGAGGCAAUCCCCUCCCAUCGGUCACCUGGCUGAGAGACGGAAAGAUGCUGACCCCGCCCACACACCUGAGCAGAGAGGAUGCUGGGAAUUACACCCUCAUGGCUUUGAACCGUAUUGGAAAAGCCAAUCACACAGUGGAGGUGGAGGUCCUACAUGACUGUGCUGCUAGAGGUGUGUUUGUUUGUUUGUGUUUGUGUGUGUGUGUGCGCGUGUUAGAAACUGAUUUUUAAGGUGUUGUUCAACGUCUGUUUCCCUCCACAGGAGCUUCCUGUCAGGCUGCUGGGAGUGCCACGGUGGCUCUGCUGCUCCACCAGCUCAUUCAUUGGCUAUAUUGAAUGAUUAUUUUAUUGAUUGAAUGGUUGAAUGAUUAAUUGACUAAUCAGGACAUCAAUCUCUGUGCUGGAGCUUUGUGAUUUGACAGUGAUCUGUGAGGGCAGUCUUCAAUAGAUCUGGAAUCAGAUCUGAGUUAGUAGAAAACCCUUUUUUCCUAAAUGUGAAAUUAGCUGUUUUGAAAUGUGUUAUUUUGAAGUAGUGCUAUUGAACAGGUCUAUAAUUAAGCAAUAAGGCCCAGGGGGUGGUAUAUGGCCAAUAUACCACGGCUAAGGGCUGUUCUUAUGCACGACACAACGGUAUAAAUGUUUAUUUCAAACCCUAACCUUAAAUGUUUAUCACUAAUAAACUAUAUAUGUUUAGGCUUAAUCCUAACCCUAAGUGUUUAUUACUAAUAAACUAUAUAAAUGUUUAGGCCUAAUCCUAACCCUAAAUGUUUAUUACUAAUAAACUAUAUAAAUGUUUUGGCCUAAUCCUAACCCAGUCUCUAGCAACAGAUCUGCCAUUAUCCUUUUUGCAAUGUUGUCAAUGUCUUUUGUGACUAAUAAAAGUUGAC